RNAcentral lists this non-coding RNA (79 nucleotides) under pig gut metagenome. RNAcentral's name for it is "ZMP/ZTP riboswitch". It matches the Rfam family "ZMP/ZTP riboswitch aptamer (pfl RNA motif)". Rfam says of the family: Previously known as pfl RNA. ZMP is also known as AICAR. The record is from RNAcentral.
AGGUGUGACUGACGGAUAAGUGGGCUGACCACAGGGGAGCACUUGUAAAGACCUUUAAGCCGACCGUCUGGGCAACCCU